This 492-nucleotide ribosomal RNA is filed under the name uncultured bacterium. RNAcentral describes it as "partial 16S ribosomal RNA". It matches the Rfam family "Bacterial small subunit ribosomal RNA", at positions 29 to 507 of the family's 1533-position model. The record is from RNAcentral.
AGUGAACGCUGGCGGUAGGCCUAACACAUGCAAGUCGAACGGCAGCACAGUAAGAGCUUGCUCUUACGGGUGGCGAGUGGCGGACGGGGGAGGAAUACAUCGGAAUCUACUUUUUCGUAGGGGAUAACGUAGGGAAACUUACGCUAAUACCGCAUACGAACUACGGGUGAAAGCAGGGGAUCUUCGGACCUUGCGCGAUUGAAUGAGCCGAUGUCGGAUUAGCUAGUUGGCGGGGUAAAGGCCCACCAAGGCGACGAUCCGUAGCUGGUCUGAGAGGAUGAUCAGUCACACUGGAACUGAGACACGGUCCAGACUCCUACGGGAGGCAGCAGUGGGGAAUAUUGGACAAUGGGCGCAAGCCUGAUCCAGCCAUACCGCGUGGGUGAAGAAGGCCUUCGGGUUGUAAAGCCCUUUUGUUUGGGAGGAAAGGCAGCAGGUUAAUACCCCGCUGUUCUGACGGUACCCAAAGAAUAAGCACCGGCUAACUUCGUG